AUUGAACGCUGGCGGAAUGCUUUACACAUGCAAGUCGAGCGGCAGCGCGGGGGCAACCCUGGCGGCGAGCGGCGAACGGGUGAGUAACAUAUCGGAACGUACCCCGUCGUGGGGGAUAACACAGCGAAAGCUGUGCUAAUACCGCAUACGACCUGAGGGUGAAAGCGGGGGAUCGCAAGACCUCGCGCGAUGGGAGCGGCCGAUAUCGGAUUAGCUUGUUGGUGAGGUAAAGGCUCACCAAGGCGACGAUCCGUAGCUGGUCUGAGAGGACGACCAGCCACACUGGAACUGAGACACGGUCCAGACUCCUACGGGAGGCAGCAGUGGGGAAUUUUGGACAAUGGGGGCAACCCUGAUCCAGCCAUGCCGCGUGAGUGAAGAAGGCCUCGGUU
This 392-nucleotide ribosomal RNA is filed under the name uncultured bacterium. Its description in RNAcentral is "bacterial SSU rRNA". It matches the Rfam family "Bacterial small subunit ribosomal RNA", at positions 29 to 424 of the family's 1533-position model. The record is from RNAcentral.